RNAcentral lists this ribosomal RNA (722 nucleotides) under uncultured bacterium. RNAcentral's name for it is "bacterial SSU rRNA". It matches the Rfam family "Bacterial small subunit ribosomal RNA", at positions 28 to 768 of the family's 1533-position model. The record is from RNAcentral.
GAUGAACGCUGGCGACGUGCUUAAUACAUGCAAGUCGAACGGAGACAGUAGCAAUAUUGUCUUAGUGGCGAACGGGUGAGUAACGCGUUGGUGACCUGCCCCGAAGAGGGGGAUAACAGUCCGAAAGGAUUGCUAAUACCCCAUGUGGUCGUUUGGAUUAGAUGCCUUAUGACUAAACGGAUUUAUUCGCUUCGGGAGGGGCCUGCGUCCCAUCAGCUAGUUGGUAAGGUAAUGGCUUACCAAGGCGAUGACGGGUAGGGGACCUGAGAGGGUGGCCCCCCACAAUGGAACUGAAACACGGUCCAUACACCUACGGGUGGCAGCAGUAGGGAAUAUUGGUAAUGUGCGAAAGCGCGAACCAGCAACGCCGCGUGCGCGAUGAAGGCCUUCGGGUUGUAAAGCGCUUUUUAUGGGGAUGAGGAAGGACAGUACUCAUAGAAUAAGCCUCGGCUAACUACGUGCCAGCAGCCGCGGUAAAACGUAGGAGGCGAGCGUUAUCCGGAUUUACUGGGCGUAAAGCGUGUGUAGGCGGUUUGAUAAGUUGGAUGUGAAAGCUCCUGGCUUAACUGGGAGAGGUCGUUCAAAACUAUCAGACUUGAGAGUGGUAGAGGGAGGUGGAAUUCCGGGUGUAGUGGUGAAAUGCGUAGAUAUCCGGAGGAACACCAGUGGCGAAAGCGGCCUCCUGGCCCAUUUCUGACGCUCAGACACGAAAGCUAAGGUAG